Pelobates cultripes (western spadefoot toad) is the source of this 120-nucleotide non-coding RNA. The record is from the annotation of a GenBank genome assembly. Lineage: Eukaryota; Metazoa; Chordata; Amphibia; Anura; Pelobatidae.
AUUUGCAGACUGGAGAAUUCCUUCAACAUUCAAAAUGCUCCAGCCUCAUCUCCUAUAUAUUAGUAUAUAGGAGAUGAGGCUGGAGCAUUUUGAAUGUUGAAGGAAUAUAUAUAUUGGUAU